This 240-nucleotide ribosomal RNA is filed under the name uncultured bacterium. RNAcentral's name for it is "partial 16S ribosomal RNA". It matches the Rfam family "Bacterial small subunit ribosomal RNA", at positions 99 to 334 of the family's 1533-position model. The record is from RNAcentral.
CGGACGGGUGCGUAACACGUAGGUAACCUACCUUCGAGCUCGGGAUAACGGACCGAAAGGGCCGCUAAUACCGAAUAAGACCACAGGGCUUCGGCCUGGUGGGAAAAGCUGCUUUUUGUGGCACUUGAAGAUGGGCCUGCGGCCUAUCAGCUUGUUGGUGAGGUAACGGCUCACCAAGGCUUCGACGGGUAGCUGGUCUGAGAGGAUGAUCAGCCACACUAGGACUGAGACACGGCCUAG